UACAGAGGUGGCAAGCGUUGUUCGGAAUUACUGGGCGUAAAGGGCUCGUAGGCGGCCAACUAAGUCGGAUGUGAAAUCCCCAGGCUUAACCUGGGAACUGCAUCCGAUACUGGAUGGCUUGAAUCCGGGAGAGGGAUGCAGAAUUCCAGGUGUAGCGGUGAAAUGCGUAGAUAUCGAGAGGAACACCUGCGGCGAAGGCGGGUUGCUGGGCCGACACUGACGCUGAUGCGCGAAAGCCAGGGGAGCGAACGGG
Molecule: ribosomal RNA, 253 nt
Filed under: uncultured bacterium
Lineage: Bacteria
Description: partial 16S ribosomal RNA
Rfam family: Bacterial small subunit ribosomal RNA
Source: RNAcentral